Molecule: ribosomal RNA, 442 nt
Filed under: uncultured bacterium
Lineage: Bacteria
Description: SSU rRNA
Rfam family: Bacterial small subunit ribosomal RNA
Source: RNAcentral
AGAACGAACGCUGGCGGCAGGCCUAACACAUGCAAGUCGGACGCCCGCAAGGGCGUGGCAGACGGGUGAGUAACGCGUGGGAACGUACCCUUCGGUUCGGAAUAACUCAGGGAAACUUGGGACAAUACCGGAUACGUCCGUAAGGAGAAAGAUUUAUCGCCGAAGGAUCGGCCCGCGUUGGAUUAGCUAGUUGGCGGGGUAAUGGCCCACCAAGGCGACGAUCCAUAGCUGGUCUGAGAGGAUGAUCAGCCACACUGGGACUGAGACACGGCCCAGACUCCUACGGGAUGCAGCAGUGGGGAAUAUUGGACAAUGGGCGAAAGCCUGAUCCAGCCAUGCCGCGUGAGUGAUGAAGGCCUUAGGGUUGUAAAGCUCUUUCAGCGGGGAAGAUAAUGACUGUACCCGCAGAAGAAGCCCCGGCUAACUUCGUGCCAGCAGCCGC